Non-coding RNA from Acyrthosiphon pisum (pea aphid), 114 nucleotides. The record is from Rfam. Lineage: Eukaryota; Metazoa; Arthropoda; Insecta; Hemiptera; Aphididae.
GUCGGAUACGGCGACAUGGCGCCCAAGACGUACAUGGGCAUGUUUGUCGGUGCUCUGUGCGCGUUGGCCGGCGUGCUGACCAUUGCACUCCCCGUUCCUGUCAUCGUGUCGAAC